Molecule: ribosomal RNA, 253 nt
Filed under: uncultured bacterium
Lineage: Bacteria
Description: partial 16S ribosomal RNA
Rfam family: Bacterial small subunit ribosomal RNA
Source: RNAcentral
UACGAGGGGUGCAAGCGUUGCUCGGAAUUAUUGGGCGUAAAGGGCGCGUAGGCGGUUCCGCAAGUCCUGUGUGAAAUCUUCGGGCUCAACUCGAAGCCUGCACGGGAAACUGCGGGGCUUGAGUGUGGGAGAGGUGAGUGGAACUGCGAGUGUAGAGGUGAAAUUCGUAGAUAUUCGCAAGAACACCAGUGGCGAAGGCGGCUCACUGGCCCGAUACUGACGCUGAGGCACGAAAGCGUGGGGAGCAAACAGG